This 253-nucleotide ribosomal RNA is filed under the name uncultured bacterium. RNAcentral describes it as "partial 16S ribosomal RNA". It matches the Rfam family "Bacterial small subunit ribosomal RNA", at positions 524 to 776 of the family's 1533-position model. The record is from RNAcentral.
UACGUAGGAUGCAAGCGUUGUCCGGAAUUAUUGGGCGUAAAGAGCGCGUAGGCGGUCACUCAAGUCAGAUGUGAAAUCUCCGGGCUUAACCCGGAGGGGUCAUUUGAAACUGAGUAACUAGAGUACAGCAGAGGAUAGCGGAAUUCCCGGUGUAGUGGUGAAAUGCGUAGAUAUCGGGAGGAACACCAGUGGCGAAGGCGGCUAUCUGGGCUGAAACUGACGCUGAGGCGCGAAGGCUAGGGGAGCAAACAGG